This 139-nucleotide ribosomal RNA is filed under the name Paramormyrops kingsleyae. RNAcentral's name for it is "5.8S ribosomal RNA (ENSPKIG00000019655.1)". It matches the Rfam family "5.8S ribosomal RNA". Rfam says of the family: 5.8S ribosomal RNA (5.8S rRNA) is a component of the large subunit of the eukaryotic ribosome. It is transcribed by RNA polymerase I as part of the 45S precursor that also contains 18S and 28S rRNA. Functionally, it is thought that 5.8S rRNA may be involved in ribosome translocation. The record is from RNAcentral. Lineage: Eukaryota; Metazoa; Chordata; Actinopteri; Osteoglossiformes; Mormyridae.
AAUGUGCAACGAUUGCUCGGCUCGUGUGUGGAUGAAGAAUGCAGCUAGCUGUGAGAACUAACGUGAAUUACAAGACACAAUGAUCAUCGACACUUUAAAUGCCCUUUGUGAAGUCAUCCAGGAUUUCCUCAUAGCGGCA